GACGAACGCUGGCGGCGUGCUUAACACAUGCAAGUCGAACGGAAAGGCCCUGCUUUUGUUGGUUGCUCGAGUGGCGAACGGGUGAGUAACACGUGAGUAACCUGCCCUUGACUUUGGGAUAACUUCAGGAAACUGCGGCUCAUACCGGAUAUGAUCUCCUGCUGCAUGGUGUGGGUUGGUAAGUUUCGGCGGUUGUGGAUGGACUCGCUGCUUAUCCGCUUCUUGGUGGGGUAGUGGCUUACCAAGGCUUUGACGGGUAGCCGGCCUGAGAGGGUGACCGGCCACAAUGGGACUGAGAUACGGACCAGACUGCUACGGGAGGCAGCAGGGGGGAAUAUGGCACAAUGGGCGGAAGCCUGAGGCAGCAACGCCGCGUGCGGGAUGACGGCCUUCGGGUUGUAAACCGCUGUCGCCUGUGACGAAGCGGGAGUGACGGUAAUGGGUAAAGAAGCAACGGCUAACUACGUG
RNAcentral lists this ribosomal RNA (468 nucleotides) under uncultured bacterium. RNAcentral's name for it is "partial 16S ribosomal RNA". It matches the Rfam family "Bacterial small subunit ribosomal RNA", at positions 28 to 507 of the family's 1533-position model. The record is from RNAcentral.